AGAGUUUGAUCCUGGCUCAGAAUGAACGCUGGCGGUGUGCUUAACACAUGCAAGUCGAACGAGAAAGUCCUUUCGGGGACUAGUACAGUGGCGAACGGGUGCGUAACGCGUAAGAAUCUACCCUUUAGUGAAGAAUACCCUCGAGAAAUCGAGGCUAAUACUGCAUACGUCUCUACGGAGAGAAAGGUGGCCUCUUGCUACCGCUGAAGGAUGAGCUUGCGUACUAUUAGCUAGUUGGUGAGGUAAAUGCUCACCAAGGCUUUGAUGGUUAGCCGGCCUGAGAGGGUGACCGGCCACAUUGGGACUGAGAUACGGCCCAGACUCCUACGGGAGGCAGCAGUGGGGAAUAUUGCACAAUGGACGCAAGUCUGAUGCAGCGACACCGCGUGGAGGAUGAAGGUCUUCGGAUUGUAAACUCCUGUUAAGUGGGAAGAAAGACGUAUGGCUAAUAUCCAUACGGGAUGACGGUACCACUAGAGAAAGCUCCGGCUAACUUCGUGCCAGCAGCCGCGGUAAUACGAAGGGAGCAAGCGUUAUUCGGAAUCACUGGGCGUAAAGGGCGCGUAGGCGGUUAAUUAAGUCGGUUGUUAAAGACCCCGGCUCAACUGGGGAAAGGCAAUUGAUACUGAUUAACUAAGAGGGCAAGAGAGAGGAGUGGAAUUCUCGGAGUAGCGGUAAAAUGCGUAGAUCUCGAGAGGAACACCGAUAGCGAAGGCAGCUUCUUGGCUUGUACCUGACGCUGAGGCGCGAAAGCGUGGGGAGCAAACAGGAUUAGAUACCCUGGUAGUC
This 789-nucleotide ribosomal RNA is filed under the name uncultured bacterium. Its description in RNAcentral is "bacterial SSU rRNA". It matches the Rfam family "Bacterial small subunit ribosomal RNA", at positions 8 to 795 of the family's 1533-position model. The record is from RNAcentral.